RNAcentral lists this long non-coding RNA (894 nucleotides) under Vulpes vulpes (red fox). RNAcentral's name for it is "lncRNA (ENSVVUG00000005993.1)". Lineage: Eukaryota; Metazoa; Chordata; Mammalia; Carnivora; Canidae. The record is from RNAcentral.
GGGACAGAUGCCAGGCUGGCAGGGACUGAGUAAGGAAUGAAAAAUGACAAAGUCGGAAACAUGGGUUUGGACAAUCAAUGAAGGCUGCCCGAGAAGAGGGAGAGUAUGUAGUUAGAGCCACAUGUGAGCUUAAGGAUGGACUUAUGGUCUUUAUUUGAGGGAGAUACCCGGGCGUUCCAAUAUUGUGACGAAUGCGGGCCAGGUUGGAGCUGAGUGGAGCUGAUGCUUGGAAACAGUUGCUAGCAGUCAGAGAGAAUGCGAUCCAGACGGAGGAGGAGAAAUUAGCCUUUGCUUUCAGAGGAGCAGCUCUGUCCAUGGAAGAGGAAGGAAUGGAGAUGCCAGGAUGACAUUUGAAGCACAGGAGCCAGGGAGUGCAGAGAGUUCUGAGAAAAGCAGGAGACGAGCUCCUGAGCCCAAGUGCUGGUGGCAGCAGUGGAAGGUUGAAGGCACUGAAAGAGUUUUAGGGUGCUUGAAACAGCUGAUGGGAAACAGGAGAAGGUGACCAUUUGUACACGCAGAAGAGUGACCGCGAAAACUAGAAAAAUCCCUGGAAGCUAGCUGAGACUGGAGACCACAAAUCGGUGGUCCACACUCUGAGUUGAAGGCUACCUCAGACACUUCUCCGGAAUUCAUUAACAGGAUGUCCUUUAACCAACUAAAUGAGUGCGAAACCGCUGUGUGGGGGGUACCCCAAAUGAGGUCACGACCGGCUUCUCAGAAGAAAGGCGGUCUCUCAGCAGCCCCAGACUAUUCCCACAGCUGCUUGGAUGGUGGCUCAGGAGGCAGUGCCCUGUCCCCCUGGAACUCUGUCAAGUGGUAAGUCAUCUGUGUAUUUAACCAGUAGAGUCCAUGUUGAUGCUUGGGAUGGUUUCACUUUUGCAAAUCUUUGUUUCU